This 14834-nucleotide long non-coding RNA is filed under the name Gossypium barbadense (sea-island cotton). RNAcentral describes it as "long non-coding RNA (GBAR_LNC020606)". The record is from RNAcentral. Lineage: Eukaryota; Viridiplantae; Streptophyta; Magnoliopsida; Malvales; Malvaceae.
CUAAAACCCCUCUCUACGCCAUCGUUACCAAACGAUCCAAAUGAUUCGAAUCCCGACGCCGAAAUCGGCUUGGGCUUAGGCGAAACAGUCGCAGAUCCCGACGGCGUAUCCUUGAAGGUAAUAUUUUCCCUUUUUACUCCUUUACAACAAAACGAAAUAGAAAUCAAAGAAAAGAAAAAAAACAAAACUCGAUUCACCUUCAAAAGACUUUGUAUUCUAUAUGUUUUUCAACUUUUGCGUCCCUCCUUUUAUUUUUUUUUCCGUACCCUUUUACAGAUUUUGAUAGGCCUUUUAUAGGCCGAAAGAAAAAAAUAAAUUAAAUCUAAAUUGUUCUCUUUGUUGUUUUUUUCUUUCAGGACUCUUUGAAUCCGUUUUGCAGGUGUGUGUGGAGAGUUUGACACGCGUUGAGGCCGAAACGUGCGGCGAUCGAGCGUUGGGCGCGGCGUGGUUGCUGUUGCGGCGCUGAGGUAGAUGCGGCUAGGGUUUUGUUUUUGUGUUUUGCUGUGUUGAUCUUUGGGUUUGGGCUGCUUUGUUGGGCUUGUAAAAUGUAGGCCUGUUCAUUUUUUGUUUUGGCUUAUUACGUGGGCCCAGGCCGAUUGGGCCUUAUUACAGCUGCCCCUCUUUGCUCAUUGUCGUGUAACGGGAAUAGAGCAAAGACUACAAGGCCCAAUUGUGUCUGGUCUUGCGGAGCCUCAAUUUCUUCAAUGCUUCUCUUCUUUAGGCAGCCUUGUUCCUUCCUACUGCAUCUUCAGAGGUAUAAGAACCGGUGCUUCAAUCCACUCCACUGCAAUGUCAGGGAGAUAGGAUUCAUAUGUUGUAGCUUCUCAAAAGAACAAAAUUUGCCAUCUUUGAUCUACUCCUCUGCAACUUCAGGGAGAUAAGUCUUAUAGCUUCAACUUGUUCUACUAUAAUUUAAGGAUAAAUCUUGAUGCGAUCUGCUCUACUGCAACUCCAGAGAGAUGAUCUGCAGUUUUAAUCCACUCCAUUGCAACUUCAAGGAGAUAGGAUUGGUUACUUCUGUCUGCUCCACUGCAACUUUAGGGAGAUAAGACUUGUAUCUUCGAUUUACUUCACCACCAGUAAGGGAAGACAAGAUCUGCUUUCUUCGAUCUACUUCACGCCAGUACAUGAAGACAAGACUUGCUUUUUUCGAAAUGUUUCGCCACCAGUAUGGGAGGACCAGAUCUGUUAUCUUUGAUCUACUUCACGCCAGUACAUGAAGAAAAGAUUUGCUUUUUCCUUCGAUCAGCUUCGCCACCAGCAUGGGAAGGCAAGAUAUGUUAUCUUUGAUCUACUUCACGCCAGUACAUGAAGACAAGAUCUGCUUUUUCCUUCGAUCUGCUUCGCCACCAAUAUGGGAAGGCAAGAUCUGUUACCUUUGAUCUACUUCACGCCAGUAUAUGAAGACAAGAUCUAUUUUCUUUGAUCUACUUCGCCACCAGUAUGGGAAGACAAGAUCUGUAUAUUCGAUCCACUUCGCUACCAAUAUAGGAAGACAUGAUCUGCUGCUUUUCAACCUACUCCACUAUUACUCAAUGAGAUAAGGCUUUAUGAUUUCGUCGAUCUGUUCUCUGGGGAACAUGACCUGUAUAAUUCACUUUAUGAACCUAAUUAUGCCUAAUGAUUAGGAUGUCAUGAUCAAAUGAAUCAAAUGCUCCUAACUAGGCAUGUAUGAAUGACAUUUGAAUGCUAUGUCAUGAAAAAUGAAUAUUGAAUGUUUAAAAUCAUUAUUGCUCGUUAAGGUUUCCUUUGUGACAACAACGCUUCAUCAAAACUUGAAAAUUUUAAUCUUGACUCUUGACUCCUAGAUAUCUCCAACCUUUCAACCCAGUGAAGGUCUAAACAAUGGUCCUGUUUCAGGUUCUUGAGCUAUUUAAAGAUUUCUAGAGUAAUAUGAAAAACUUCCCUUGUGAAAGUUUUACUAGUCCAUUAAUCGUCAUUCUAAUGCAACAUGCUCGCGAAAAGAUCAUAACGAUGAAUAAAAUUAAUUUGGGAGCGUAACAUGCAAUGAAUUGUCAAUGAUAGAGGAAUUGUCUGGGAAUAUUUAUAUUGAAGAAGAAUGAAAUAUUCUAAAACAACGGAUUCAAUACAAAUACUAUGAUCAGGUGCCCCAAAUAUCUCUAUUUUGAAUUUCUCUAUACAACUUUUUGGAAACCCUUCUGAAUUCAACAUGUGUUCAGAAGAUUCACACUAGUUUGUUGAUGCCCCAAGAUGUCAUCUAUUCCUUUCUGCCGAUUUAGGUACAGCAAGACUACCACGUGCCAAUCAAAAUUUGAGCCGCCCUUUUCGGGUUUUCGACUCAAAUCCCCUUUGGUCUUAAGGUGCCCUUUGCGGGUUUUCACCCUAGCCUCUCUAUUUUUUUUUUUUUGGAAUCAAAUUGCCCUUUGCGGGUUUUCACCUUGGUUCAUUCCCUUCUUCAAGUAAAGUAUCUCUUGACCGAAUCUGAAUUCACUGGAUUAGGUAAGUUUCUUCUAUCCAUUUCAGCCAAGAUCAGGGCUCCUCCAGAAAAGGCAUUUUUUACAACAUAAGGACCUUCCCAAUUCGGCAUCCAUUUCCCCCUAAAAUCCUUUUGUAAAGGAAGAAUUUUUCUCAACACCAGGUCUCCCUCGUGAAAUUCUCUGGGUCAGACUUUCUUGUUGUAAGCUCGCAUUAUUCUUUUCUGGUACAUCUGACCGUGCUGAAUAGCCUUUAUCCUCUUCCCCUCUAUCAAGUUCAACUGAUCAUAUCGAGAUUGAACCCAUUCCGCUUCAUCCAAUUGUAGCUCAGACAAAACUCGGAGAGAAGGGAUUUCAACUUCGAUGGGCAAGACUGUUUCCAUGCCAUAAACUAAGGAGAAAGGCGUUGCCCCGGUGGAGGUCCUGGUUGACGUUCGAUAAGCAAGGAGGGCAAACGGUAAUUUCUCGUGCCAGUCCUUGUAAGUCUCAGUCAUCUUCCCUACAAUCUUCUUUAUAUUUUUAUUGGCCGCUUCUACUGCACCAUUCAUUUUCGGUCGAUACGGCGACGAAUUGUGAUGUCUGAUCUUGAAUUGACUGCAGACCUCUACUAUUGAGCUAUUGUUCAAAUUCAACGCAUUGUCGAAUAUGAUUCUUUCAGGCAUUCCAUACCGACAUAUGAUCUCUCUCUUCAAGAAUUUACUGACUGAUGACUUUGUAACAUUACCAUACGAAGCAGCUUCUACCCAUUUGGUGAAGUAGUCAAUAACCACGAAUAUGAAAUGAUGCCCAUUUGAAGCCUUUGGCGAUAUUGGCCCGAUAACAUCCAUACCCCACAUGGAGAAAGGCCAUGGAGAAGUCAUGACAUGAAGAGGUGAAGGAGGUGCAUGCAUUUUAUCACCAUAGAUUUGACAUUUAUGGCACUUCUUGGAAUAAUUGAUGCAAUCCCCUUCCAUGGUAGACCAGUAGUACCCGAGUCUCAUAAUCUGUCUAGCCAUUGUGAACCCACUGGCAUGUGUUCCACAGAUGCCCUCAUGGACUUCUUCCAGAAUUUUCUUUGCUUCCAUGGCAUCCACACAUCUUAACAGUACCUGAUAUUUUCUCCUCUUGUAUAAGAUCUCCCCAUCUAUGACGUAAUCAAUGGCUAGCCUUCUCAGAGUUCUCUUUUCAUUCUUCGUUGCCUGGCCAAGAUACUCAUGAUUUUUUACAUAUCGUAGUAUAUCUUUAUACCAAGGGCUAUCAUCAAUUUCUCCUUCUUCGACAUUGUAACAAUGAGUCGGGUCUUCAUGGAUACUCAUUUGUAUAUGCUUCAUAUCCUCACAUCUGUUCACCUUGAUCAUGGAGGCUAAAGUAGCCAGUGCAUCAGCCAUUUGGUUCCCAUCUCGUAAGAGAUAGCAAAAAGUGAUGUCCUCAAAAUCUUUAAUCAAUUCAAGGACCAACUUUCGAUAACUGACUAAUUUGGGAUCUCUCAUUUCCCAUUCACCCCUGAGCUGAUAUAUCACCAAUGCCGAAUCUCCAUAGACCUCUAACACUUUGAUUCUUCGCUCUAUAGCUGCACGAAUCCUCAUGAUGCAUGCUUCUUACUCUGCCAUGUUAUUUGUACAAUCAAAAUCCAAUUUGCAAGUGAAAGGAUAAUGAUCACCAUUCGGGGACACUAGGACUGCCCCAAUUCCAUUACCCACAGCAUUCGAGGCUCCAUCAAAGUUCAACCUCCAACCGUGACCUUCUUGGGGACUUUCCUCAGUAGCCGCUAUACACACCAGGUCUUCAUUUGGGAAAUCAAAACUCAACGGCUCGUAAUCCUCCAGAGCUCUACUAGUUAGAAAGUCAGCAAUUGCACUCCCUUUCACAGCCUUCUGGCUCACAUAAACAAUAUCAAAUUCAGGCAGCAAGAUCUGCCAUCGGGCCAUUCUCCCAUUCAAAGCAGUUGACUCGAUCAUAUACUUUAACGGGUCUAACUUUGAGAUUAGCCAAGUCGUAUGGUAUAACAUGUACUGCCUUAAUCUUCGGGUUGUCCAAAUCAAGGCACAACAUAACUUCUCAAUAGACGAAUAUCUCAUUUCACAGUCAGUGAAUUUUUUGUGGAGAUAAUAUAUCGCCCUUUCUUUUCUCCCCGUUUUAUCAUGUUGGCCUAGCACACACCCCAUGGAAUUAUCAAAUACUGUCAGAUACAAUAUCAGCGACCUAUCCGGGCUAGGUGGUGACAGCACUAGAGUGUUAGACAAAUACUGCUUCACCUUGUUAAAAGCUUCUUCGCAUUCUUCAUUCCAAGUACCAGGAUUAUGUUUCUUCAGAAGACGAAAUAUAGGGUCACAUUUCUCAGUCAGUUGUGAAAUGAACCUAGCGAUGUAAUUCAGACUUCCGAGGAAACAUCGAACUUCUUUCUGCGUGCGAGGCGGAGGUAAAUCUCGUAUUGCCUUGACUUUGUCUGGGUCAAUCUCGAUUCCCUUUUCACUGACUAUGAAGCCUAGCAACUUUCCUGACCUGGCCCCAAAAGUGCACUUCGCUAGAUUAAGCUUGAGUUGGAACUUUCUCAAUCUUAAAAAUAACUUUCUCAAGACCCGUACAUGUUCGCCCUCCGUUCUAGAUUUCGCGAUCAUAUCAUUGAAGUAAACCUCGAUUUCUCUGUGUAUCAUGUCAUGGAACAAGGCUACCAUGGCUCUUUAGUAUGUCGCUCCCGCAUUCUUCAAUCUAAACGGCAUCACUUUUUAACAAAACGUCCCCCAUAACGUAAUGAACGUAGUCUUUCUCAUGUCUUCAAGAUGCAUCUUUAUCUGAUUAUACCCAGAAAAACCAUCCAUGAAGGAAAACAGUGAAAAGCCCGCAGUAUUGUCUACCAAUGUGUCAAUGUGGGGCAAUGGGAAAUUAUCCUUUGGACUAGCCUUAUUCAAAUCCCGGUAAUCCACACACAUUCGUACUUUUCCAUCUUUCUUUGGAACUGGUACGAUGUUAGCCACCCACUCAGAAUACCUGACUUCUUGCAGAAAUCCGGCAUCAAACUGCUUUUGGACCUCCUCCUUUAUCUUCAACACGAUAUCAGGCCUCAUCCUUCUGAGCUUUUGCUGCACUGGCUUGCAAUCUUCUCUUAUAGGGAGACGAUGAACUACCAUGUCGGUACUCAACCCCGGUAUAUCCUGGUAUGACCAUGCAAACACGUCCUUGAACUCUCGGAGUAAUUCGAUGAGGUCAUGUCUUGUCCUUGCAGAGAUAUCCGAUCCAAUCUUCACCUCUUUACCUUCCUCCAAGCUCACAAUUUCUAUUGAUUCCCUAUGAGGUAGGAUUUGCUUCUCAGUCCUUUCUACCAUUUUCAACAAGUCAGGAGACAAACCACAGUCUUCGUCAUCCUCAAAAUCAUGCGAUCCCUCUAAACACAUGUUUCGUUCAAAAGGAGACUCUAAAUUUGUAAGAGUGACAUUCGUAUCAUUGAUAUCGUAGGACCUGUUAUAAAAAAAAAUAUGGAUUAAGGAAUCUGUUUGGUGCAAUAUGGUCAUGAAUGAAAUGCAAGUGUAUUUCGAGAGAGACUUAAAAUAACUGCUCUUAUGGAAAGAAAGAUUUGCUCCAAAAAUAACUGCAAACAUGAACUUUAUUAAAAUAACAAUUUUCUGGACACGAGCCUAUUUCACAAAGGAAUCCUUAUCACUUCUAGGCUAAAAAGCAAUAAGGGUGUUCUGGACAUUACUCUGAGGAAAUCCUAAAAACUACAGGUAUUUCUUCUGCAGUCCAGUUGUUUAGCUCCCUUUCCGAUUUGUAAGGACGGAUAUCUGGCAAAGUUCUUCCUCGUGUCACUUCUUCAUACACGGCAUGAAUACUCCCUAGCUCCGUGUUAAUACUUCUGACCCCUAGUAUUCCUGGAUAAACAAAUCCUCCCGAUACAAAAGUCUUGAAUAGGUGAGGAAAGGUCAUGGGUUCCCAUUCAACUUUAUCCCCUGCCAAACGAGCCCUUCUUCUCAUUUGUUUCUUCUCUCGCUCCAUCCUCAUUUGCUUAAGAUCUGGCUUAUAACCUAAGCCAAAACGAUCGUGCUUGCCCUUCAAUACUGGGACCUCGACUCGACCCUGAAGAUAUCUCCCAAUCUUUUCCCUGGCAAAGCUCCUUUUCCAACUGUCAAUUGCAGCCCCAUCCCUGUGGUCUUUGAUAUUCUCGGCAUCGGGAUCUUGUUUCCCUCAAAGAUGAAUGUUGCAUUUACGAACUCUAAGGAACGGAAAGAGUACUCGAUUGCAUCAUCACUCGUCUCCAAAUAAGGUGCAUCGUUAGUCACAGAUGCAAUGAUAUCCUCCUCAGCAUCUAUCGUUACUACCCGACCUUCUAACACCAGCUUCAAUUUUUGAUGUAACGAUGACGGUACCGCACCUGCUGAAUGAAUCCACGGCCUUCCUAAUAGGCAACUGUAAGAAGGCUUGAUAUCCAUAACCAAAAAGUCUACCUCAUUGACAGUUGGGCCGAUUAACAAGGGUAUGUCAAUUCUUCCCAUGACUUUCCUCUCGGUGCCAUCAAAUGCUCUCACCACAUUCUGACACGAUUUCAUAUGUGAACUAUCCAUAGGUAGCCUGUUGAGCAUGGAUAGAGGCAAUACGUUCAGUGCCGACCCGUUGUCUACCAGAACUCCUGGUAAUAUACACCCUUUACACCUUGCAGUGAUGUGUAAAGCUCUAGUAGAUCCCAUACCCCCAGGUGGUAUUUCGUCAUCGCUGAAAGAGAUGAAGUUAUCCGCGCUUAUAUUGCCGACCAGUCGAUCCAACUUGUUAACAGAGAUAUCGUCGGCCACAUAAGUUUCAUCUAGCACAUUCAGUAGUGCAUUUCGAUGUCCCUCCGAGUUCAGGAGUAAAGCUAGCAUAGAUAUGCGAGCUGGUUGUUUGUGUAGCUACUCCACAACGCUGUACUCACUAUGCUUUAUGAACUUCAAGAACUCUCUAGCUUCCUCCUCCUUGAUUGGUUCAUUGACCAACAAUUCAGGUUCGACUGCAUUCUUCUUCUUUCCAAUCGAAGUUCCUUCUCUUAUUGGCUCUACUCGAGCCUUCACCUGUUUGUCAUGCCCUCCUUCAUCAUGGUCCUCCUUAUUAAUUACGUCCUCCUUCCUUGGGAUUGUCACAUUACAAUUGUAAUUCCAAGGAACCCUCCUGUUAUCCUUGUAAGUAAACACGGUCAGUUUUUGAAUGAUAACCUUUGGUGUUACUCGCGCUCUAGCCUCAUUAUUCUUAGGUCGUGAGAUGAUGACCACAGGAUGGUUAGCCUUUGAAACUCCUAAUGCCAGCUCUGACGUACAUACAUGACUCACCUUCUGAAUUCCUUCACAAAAUUCCAUCUCCUUAUUAUCCAUCAUACCCUGUACCACGGCUCUGAACUCCGUACACUCUUGGAUUUCAUGCCCCAUUUCACAAUGGAACUCACAGUAGUUCAUUCUCUUCUCACAGCUCUCCUCUGAAGCAAUUAGCCCCCUUUUCACCAUCUCUUUCCAGACCCAUCUCAAAGGAGUCUUCACACCCGCAAUGUCUGCCUUAAUUUUUCUGUCCUCGCCCAUCAUAUUUAUUCCACUAUCAGUAUGGUUUGGUAGUGGAUUUUCUGCUUUGGUGGAUUCAUCAAAUUUAACGACACCCAUACCAAUGAGCCUUUCAACCAACUUCUUGAAGGCCGUACAGUUUUCUAUAGAAUUUCCCGUGAUUCCCGCAUGAUAGUCGCACUGUGCAUUUGCGUCGUACCAAUUGGGGUACGGGGGCUGUAAGGGCUUCAGAUAGAAAGGGGAAACUACAUGUGCAUCGAAUAAGUUUCGGUAUAAUUCCCUGUACGACAUAGGAAUUGGCGUGAAUUGGGGCCUCUCCGUAUUUCGCCUUGUACCGGCCUCUUGUCUCGACGAGCUUUGCUGAUUGGCAGCCACCUUUCUUGGCUGACUCACUGUUACCGACUUCGAGUAACCCUUGUUGUACAUGCUCGCGUUGCUUACCUCGUUUUCCUUCCUCUUCGAAACUGAUCUUCUGUUACUCUCUCCAGCAUCGGUCUUCCCACUCCUGAUGGCGUUCUCAAUCAUCUCGCCAUUCAUGACUAUGUCAGGAAAGCUUUUUGUGGCACUUCCUAACAUAUGUGUUAUGAACGGUGCCUUCAGGGUGUUAAUGAACAACAUGGUAAUUUCCUUUUCCAGGAGCGGUGGCUGAACUUGGGCUGCGACCUCCCUCCAUCUCUGCGCGUACUGCCUAAAGCUUUCGUUCGGCUUUUUCUCCAUGUUCUGAAGGGUGAUUCUAUCAGGAGCCAUGUCUGUUCGCAUGACUAUAUUGCUUCAUGAAUGCUUGCGCCAAGUUUCUCCAUGAACCAAUCGUGGCGCGACUCAACUGAUUGUACCACUUGGAUGCUGCCCCUGCAAGGCUGUAUUGGAAGCAAUGUAUUAAUAGCUGGUCAUUAUUAACGUAUCCAGCCAUUCGCCUGCAGAACAUGGUGAUAUGAGCCUCUGGCAAGUCGUCCCAUUGUACUUCUCGAAUUCGGGCAUCUUAAACUUAUGAGGGAGAACUAGAUCUGGCACUAAACUCAGCUCUUUUGCGUCAAUGCCUCGAUAACCUUCAGUGACUUUCAUCGCCUUGAACUUCUCCUCGAGCCACUUGCAUCUUUCCUCUAACUGUCUCGGUAACUCCUCCUUCACUCUUUCUUUCUCAACCACUUCAUCAAAUUCAGGAAUGGCAGAGUUAAUAGGAUUAUUUUCGGGAUUAAAACCCGGCCCAGUUUGGAGGUUCGAAACACCAGCUCGAAAUUGCUGAGGCGUGAUGGUGACAGUAGAUUUACGCGGGUAUUCAGCUUGAGCUCGCUCAUGUGGAGGGGUGAAACCUGGAGGAUAGAAAAGUUCAUCAUCAUUUCCCUCAUCGGCAUCUGCCAUGGGGCCCUUUCCUUUGUCACCUCCCUUAGUUAUCAGUUGGGUUAAUUUUGCCACUAUAUCCUCUUGAGAUUCCCGCAUCUUCCCAGACAUCUCUUGUUUCAUCUUGUCUAACCGCUCAUGCAUUUGUAGCUGAAGCCGGUCUUGCAUCUCUUUCUGGUACUGUUCGAGCUUUUCUAAUCUCUGAUCCAUAUCUUUUGUCUUUGCUCGAGUGCCGUAUCGGUGUCUGGUUGGUUGGUUGGUUUCUAGGUUAACUGAGCAAUAAUUUUAACUUAUUAGGAUUUAAUGAAGGUCUUUAAUGCAUAUGAUGUGAUGCUAAUGCAUAUGAUGCGAUGCAUGAGGUGAAUGCAAAAAAGGCGUUAAUUAUAAUUCAAUUCCACUCAGAAAACUUUACUAGAGAAAAAAUUUCUUUACAUAAAAUGGCUAUAAAUAAGGCCUUGCCCUAACACUUAGAACUUUAAUCUCCCUAAGUAAUGAUGCCAACUUUUGCCCCUGUUCUGAUUCCGAUUCAUACUUCACACUUAGUACAUCAGCUUGUACUGCCAAAGUCUGCAGGUGCUCAGCUACCCCUUGAAUCUGAACCACAGCUUCUCCCAUGAUGUGAUCCCUUCUUGCAACUUGAUUCUGAAGAUAGUGAAGCUGUUCAUUUUGAUGAUCUUCAUCUGCUUCCAGAUGUUCAAUUCUGGCUUCAUAGUCUUGUACUAUCGCCUCCAGUUCGGCCACCCUAGCUUUUAAUUCAUCCUUUUCGUUCUGGCUUUCGGACAAACUCCUCUCUAAGGACUUAUUUUGCUUUUGAGCCUCCUGAAAUCUCUUUCCCCACCUAUCAGCCUUGACCUUUUCUUCUUGAAUUUCUUGACGCCACUGCUCUGAGGUUUUUCCCAAUCCAGCAGUUCUCAUUGACAUACGUAGCCUCUUAUAAUCCACCUUCAAGCUAUUCAAAUCCUCCUCAGCCUUGCAUUUUUCUUUCCUCAGGCCUUCAGUUUCCAGCUUCUGAACAUCCACAUCCAGCUUCAGACUCAUCUUCUCCUCUUCCAUUUGCCCUAUCUUCUUCUCAAGCUCAGAAUUUCUUCUUCCAAAAUCUUGUUUUAUGAUUUCUAGCUCAGAAGGAACCAUAUGUACAUGUUUUUCUAUUAAUUGGCUGUCUCCUUGACCUGGUACAGGUAUAUUAUCAUUGACCCUCCUACCCAGCCAACUGAUAUAUUCAGGAGUCAUCGACGGACCUACCGACAAUCUCAUCAAUCGAGGGGUCUGCCUCCAAGCAUUUGUCAUUUCUCGAAUCUUUUUCUUGUAACCAUCACACUUAUACGAGAACUCACUUUGAGCUAAUCCUUGGGUUGUAGGUACGAACUGCCUCGAUCUAUACUGCCUCAAUACCAGUAACGGUGCAUAACCAAUAGCUCCCCAAAUCCCAAUUAGAGGAACCCAAUCGAAAUCUCCACAUCUAUACAAUAUCUCAUCUGACAACAACCAAGGAGCUCUCCACUCAAUGUCCUCCUCUUGAAGAUUCUGAAGAAUUACAAUCCAUCUUUCUUCUAAGGCCCCAUCUUGCAUCGGUAUUUCCACUAUUUAUUUUAAGGGCGAAUAAGUUUCAGAAAAAACUCGAUAAGAAAAUUUAUCAACUUUCCUGAAAUGACUGUGAAACCAUGCCAAGAGAAGUUGCGCACAUCCAAUGAAUCUUCCUUCACCUACUCUUCGGCAUUCGUUCAGUGACCUAAAAGUUUCUGCUAAAAUUGCUCGAACCGGUGUGACUCCUUUAUCAAGUCGAUCGAAAAGAUCAGUGACUGCUUCAUCGAUAUGUCCCAAGGCUUUGGGAAAGACAACUAGGCCGUAGAUGCUCAAAGUAAAAACAUCAACCCUCUUCUUCGUGUCUGGAUGUGCUUGAAUUAAAUCUCUCAGAUUAUUCUAAGGAGUACAUUUGCUAUCUCCCUUCUGUUUGAUUCGUGCUGCGACCUAUUGCUCACUCAUCCCAGUUAUAUUCACCAACUUCUUCAAAAAGGUUGGAAUAUUAGCAGCUCUUGAAUAGGCUUUGUCCACUUAAAUUUUUGAACAACGAAGCAAUACCGUGUAUUCCUCCACUGUAGGCACUAAAUCAACACUUCCAAAGGUGAAACAACAAUAAGCCGAAUUCCAAAAUUGGGCUAAGGCACGGAACAGGCGCUUAUCCACCUUUACGUCGAGCAAGUAAGGUAGGUCUCCAUAGCUAGAGUAGAAGAGUUGCUUAAUCUCAUCAUUCCACUGAUCCCAAAUUUCCUUUAAUUCCUGUAGGCUAUUCUGAGUCACGCUAACACGAGUGAAGUCCCACAACUCUGACACAUACUCCUCGGCCAAACUAUCACCUUUCUCUUAUUGUGUUGUCUCAGACCAAGUUUGGACAGCCGCAUUAUCUUCCACCUUAUCAAGAAACCCUUUUUCCAUGAUAAGCUUUCUAUCUAGCAACCGAAUACAAACUAACGCCGUUUUAGGAUGAAAUGUUGUGCAAUCAUGAUGUCAUGCAAUCAAAACAAAAGAAACCCAAGUCAGUAUCACAUAUAAAGAUAUAAACAAGCAUAAAAUAGCAAGAAACACCUAAACAGGAAUCCCCUAGGGUUUUGGGAUAGUUCUACCUAGGUCAAGUUCCUAAAGCUCACUAUAUGAGGUUUAGUUUCUAGAGUAAGAGUACCUGAACCAACAGAUUCCUCGAUCCUCACCCAUUAUAGGCUCAUGUGGAUCGAGUUCAGUUCAGGGGGAUACAUUUCCCUAUGGCUGCACGGAGAUGAAAAUCUCACGAAGACAUAGGUACGGAUGUAUCCCGGAAGCGGUCCACUACCCUACACGGAGGUGAAAACCUCACGAAGGACUAGUUUCUCGCUCUCACUUAAAGGGUAAAAUGCAAAAUGAAAAUGCAAAGUUGCCAACACCAUGAUGAGAAAUCAAUGAGUGCGAAGGGAACUCAUAAAUUAUUUAAAAACUUUUGAUUUUGACACAAAGACAAACAUAAUCAAUUUUGUGGCUCGACUCUCUAAUGUCCCCAGUGGAGUCGCCAAGCUGUCGAAAUCGUUUUUUUGAAAACAAAAAAUUUUAGUUGUCGACUUUAAAAAUAAAACUGGAGUCGCCACCGAUCCUUUAUUAAGGUGUGAUCGGCCCACCUUAAAAAUUAUUUUGGUCUGUGAAUUUUGAAAACAGGUUCGGGAGUCAGUUACGCACGAGGAAGGGUUAGCACCCUCGUAACGCCCAAAAAUCGGUACCAAAUUGACUAUUUAAUGUCUUUGUGUCGAAAGUUAAAAAAGAUUUUAAAAUAAGCUUGAAUGAUGAAAUUGGCAAAAGGAUAAUCAAUUGUUCAAGUCAUGUAAAGAAAUCGAGUCCCAAUACGUUAGGGUACAAUUCCUCAUAAUCCCCAAACUUGAAUAUCACUUUUAUUUUAUACGAAAAUCUUCAUUUCGAGAAAGUAACAUGCCACACCCAAUACGUUAGGGCACAACAAGUUAAGUUCCCAAAAAUGAUUUUUAUGCAUUUUGAAUAAAAAUAUUCUCGGUCAUUUAGGAUUGACAAAGAAAAUCAGAACCCAAUACGUUAGGCCUCAAUUUCCCUCGAAAAUCCCAAACUUCCAAAAAUGCUUUUAUCCAAAAAAACCUUUAAAUCAAGAAAAUAACUUUGAUGAAGGGUUAAAACCAAAAUAUAUUUUCAAAAGGGUAUGUUAAAGAGCUAAUACAAUAUGAUACAGAUCCUUUAAUUUUCAACAUAUACAAAUACAUAUUUGCAAAUAUAUAUAUGCAAAUACAAUAUAACAAUAAAGUUGCAAACAUAUGUACACAUAUAUCUUACACAUAUACAAGUAUACAUACAAAUAGAAGGAAUAAAAUAUAUCCAAUAAAGCAAACACAAAAGCAUGUAUUCAAAAUAAAAUAAAAGGGGAAAAAAUGCAUAGGUAUAUAUUUACAAAAAUGUAUAAGUUCAUGUAUAUGUACCAUAUAUAUAUAAAAUGAUAGAACAUGUAAAAUAAUGAAAAUGUUUAUUAAUAAUCAUUAAAAACAGGUACAUUAAAAAAAUGCUCAUUUUAUAAAACAUAUAUAUGUAUAUAUAAAGUAUAAAGCGUGAAAAAAGAAAGUAAAAUAAAAAAGAUAAAAAACGUAGGUAAAUGCUAGAUGAAAAUACAUAUAUAUAUGUUAUAUAAGUAAAAUGCAUACGAAUGAAUACAAAUAGUGAUAGUAAUAAUGAUAAUAUAUAAUAUAAUAAAAAAUGUUGUUUUUUAUAAAAAUAAUAAUGAAAUAAAAGUUUUUUUCAAAAAUGGAUCAAAUUGAAUAAAAAAAAGAGAAAACGGGGCAAAUUUUGAAGAAAAUUUAGAGACAGGACCACAUUGAAUGCGCGCACAACAAUGGAGGACCAAAAGGGAAAUUAUUCCCACCUUCCAAAACGCUGCGCAGCAAGGGACUAAAUUGAAACGGACAUCAAAUAUGCGGUCCAAAUUUAAAACAAGUAAAAAAAGGUUUAAUUAGAGCGCGCUACAAAAGGGAAGGGCCAAAUGCACAAUUUCCCCUUCGAAGCCCAAACGCGCAGAUCCUCCCCCUCGGGUCGGGUCACCGCGCGGGUCAGGGCUGGGCAAUACGGCGCCGUUUUGCGCACUGCCUAAAUGCCCAUUUUGAAGCCUUAAAAUCCAUCAAUUUUUUCCUUUGGCCGACUUUAGGAAACCCUAAAACCCCUCUCUACGCCAUCGUUACCAAACGAUCCAAAUGAUUCGAAUCCCGGCGCCGAAAUCGGCUUGGGCUUAGGCGAAACAGUCGCAGAUCCCGACGGCGUAUCCUUGAAGGUAAUAUUUUCCCUUUUUACUCCUUUACAACAAAACGAAAUAGAAAUCAAAGAAAAGAAAAAAAAACAAAACUCGAUUCACCUUCAAAAGACUUUGUAUUCUGUAUGUUUUUCAACUUUUGCGUCCCUCCUUUUAUUUUUUUUUCCGUCUCCUUUUACAGAUUUUGAUAGGCCUUUUAUAGGCCGAAAGAAAAAAAUAAAUUAAAUCUAAAUUGUUCUCUUUGUUGUUAUUUCUUUCAGGACUCUUUGAAUUUGUUUUGCAGGUGUGUGUGGAGAGUUUGGCGCGCGUGGAGGCCGAAACGUGCGGCGAUCGGGCGUUGGGCGCGGCGUGGGUGCUGUUGCGGCGCUGAGGCAGAUGCGGCUAGGGUUUUGUUUUUGUGUUUUGCUGUGUUGAUCUUUGGGUUUGGGCUGCUUUGUUGGGCUUGUAAAAUGUAGGCCUGUUCAUUUUUUGUUUUGGCUUAUUACGUGGGCCCAGGCCGAUUGGGCCUUAUUACAUAACCAUUUUAAUAAAAACAAUUCUAUGCCGACCAAUAUUAGGAUUAUUUGAUUUCUCCUAGUAACUUAAAGGGGGGCAAGAAGCUAGAAGGUAGAAGGGGAGGAAUGAAUAAGGUGGUAUUGGGUAAGAUGGGUCCGAUAGCUUAAAGUUGUAAACCUAUUACCCAUUAACUUGAAGCUUCUAGGUUUGAAAAACUUUGUUAUUUUAGACCCACCUGAAAACCUAAUGGUUGGGAAGAGUAUCUCUACUCUAUGUUAUACCUAUGAAUUUUUG